This 901-nucleotide ribosomal RNA is filed under the name Cedecea neteri. RNAcentral describes it as "bacterial SSU rRNA". It matches the Rfam family "Bacterial small subunit ribosomal RNA", at positions 19 to 873 of the family's 1533-position model. Lineage: Bacteria; Pseudomonadati; Pseudomonadota; Gammaproteobacteria; Enterobacterales; Enterobacteriaceae. The record is from RNAcentral.
UCUGCUCAGAUUGAACGCUGGCGGCAGGCCUAACACAUGCAAGUCGAGCGGUAGCACGGGAGAGCUUGCUCUCUGGGUGACGAGCGGCGGACGGGUGAGUAAUGUCUGGGGAUCUGCCUGAUGGAGGGGGAUAACUACUGGAAACGGUAGCUAAUACCGCAUAACGUCGCAAGACCAAAGAGGGGGACCUUCGGGCCUCUUGCCAUCAGAUGAACCCAGAUGGGAUUAGCUAGUAGGUGGGGUAAUGGCUCACCUAGGCGACGAUCCCUAGCUGGUCUGAGAGGAUGACCAGCCACACUGGAACUGAGACACGGUCCAGACUCCUACGGGAGGCAGCAGUGGGGAAUAUUGCACAAUGGGCGCAAGCCUGAUGCAGCCAUGCCGCGUGUAUGAAGAAGGCCUUCGGGUUGUAAAGUACUUUCAGCGAGGAGGAAGGCAUUAAGGUUAAUAACCUUGGUGAUUGACGUUACUCGCAGAAGAAGCACCGGCUAACUCCGUGCCAGCAGCCGCGGUAAUACGGAGGGUGCAAGCGUUAAUCGGAAUUACUGGGCGUAAAGCGCACGCAGGCGGUUUGUUAAGUCGGAUGUGAAAUCCCCGGGCUCAACCUGGGAACUGCAUUCGAAACUGGCAAGCUUGAGUCUUGUAGAGGGGGGUAGAAUUCCAGGUGUAGCGGUGAAAUGCGUAGAGAUCUGGAGGAAUACCGGUGGCGAAGGCGGCCCCCUGGACAAAGACUGACGCUCAGGUGCGAAAGCGUGGGGAGCAAACAGGAUUAGAUACCCUGGUAGUCCACGCCGUAAACGAUGUCGACUUGGAGGUUGUGCCCUUGAGGCGUGGCUUCCGGAGCUAACGCGUUAAGUCGACCGCCUGGAUGGCGACGUUGAGGUGGGCACCAAUCUUCUUC